RNAcentral lists this ribosomal RNA (417 nucleotides) under uncultured bacterium. Its description in RNAcentral is "bacterial SSU rRNA". It matches the Rfam family "Bacterial small subunit ribosomal RNA", at positions 358 to 772 of the family's 1533-position model. The record is from RNAcentral.
GGAAUAUUGGUCAAUGGGCGCAAGCCUGAACCAGCCAUGCCGCGUGCAGGAUGACGGUCCUAUGGAUUGUAAACUGCUUUUGUACGGGAAGAAACACUCCUACGUGUAGGGGCUUGACGGUACCGUAAGAAUAAGGAUCGGCUAACUCCGUGCCAGCAGCCGCGGUAAUACGGAGGAUCCAAGCGUUAUCCGGAAUCAUUGGGUUUAAAGGGUCCGUAGGCGGCUUUAUAAGUCAGUGGUGAAAUCCGGCAGCUCAACUGUCGAACUGCCAUUGAUACUGUAGAGCUUGAAUUAUUAUGAAGUAACUAGAAUAUGUAGUGUAGCGGUGAAAUGCUUAGAGAUUACAUGGAAUACCAAUUGCGAAGGCAGGUUACUAAUAAUACAUUGACGCUGAUGGACGAAAGCGUGGGUAGCGAA